This 689-nucleotide ribosomal RNA is filed under the name uncultured bacterium. RNAcentral's name for it is "bacterial SSU rRNA". It matches the Rfam family "Bacterial small subunit ribosomal RNA", at positions 32 to 715 of the family's 1533-position model. The record is from RNAcentral.
AACGCUAGCUACAGGCUUAACACAUGCAAGUCGAGGGGCAUCAGGGUGUAGCAAUACACCGCUGGCGACCGGCGCACGGGUGAGUAACACGUAUCCAACCUGCCCUUUACUCGGGGAUAGCCUUUCGAAAGAAAGAUUAAUACCCGAUGGCAUAACAUGACCUCCUGGUUUUGUUAUUAAAGAAUUUCGGUAGAGGAUGGGGAUGCGUUCCAUUAGGCAGUUGGCGGGGUAACGGCCCACCAAACCUUCGAUGGAUAGGGGUUCUGAGGGGAAGGUCCCCCACAUUGGAACUGAGACACGGUCCAAACUCCUACGGGAGGCAGCAGUGAGGAAUAUUGGUCAAUGGGCGAGAGCCUGAACCAGCCAAGUAGCGUGAAGGAUGACCGCCCUAUGGGUUGUAAACUUCUUUUAUAUGGGAAUAAAGUUUGCCACGUGUGGCAUUUUGUAUGUACCAUAUGAAUAAGGAUCGGCUAACUCCGUGCCAGCAGCCGCGGUAAUACGGAGGAUCCGAGCGUUAUCCGGAUUUAUUGGGUUUAAAGGGAGCGUAGGUGGACAUGUAAGUCAGUUGUGAAAGUUUGCGGCUCAACCGUAAAAUUGCAGUUGAUACUGCGUGUCUUGAGUACAGUAGAGGUGGGCGGAAUUCGUGGUGUAGCGGUGAAAUGCUUAGAUAUCACGAAGAACUCCGAUUG